AGUGAUGUAGCUCAGUUGGUAGAGUGCUUGCCUAGCAAGCAUGAGGUCCUGGGUUCGAUCCUCAGUACCACAU
Molecule: transfer RNA, 73 nt
Filed under: Neotoma lepida (desert woodrat)
Lineage: Eukaryota; Metazoa; Chordata; Mammalia; Rodentia; Cricetidae
Rfam family: tRNA
About the family: Transfer RNA (tRNA) molecules are approximately 80 nucleotides in length.
Source: Rfam by way of RNAcentral